CGGACGACGCUGGCGGCGUGCUUAAUACAUGCAAGUCGAACGGAGCCUAGCCGGUAGUUUACUACAGGCGAAAGCUUAGUGGCGGACGGGUGAGUAACGCGUGGGCAAUCUGCCCCUAAGUCCGGGAUAACAGAGCGAAAGUUCUGCUAAGACCGGAUACUCUUCCUUGGUCGCAUGGCGGAGGAAGGAAAGGAUACGCUUAGGGAUGAGCCCGCGUCCCAUUAGCUAGUUGGUGAGGUAACGGCCCACCAAGGCGACGAUGGGUAGCCGGCCUGAGAGGGUGGACGGCCACACUGGGACUGAGACACGGCCCAGACUCCUACGGGAGGCAGCAGUAGGGAAUUUUGGACAAUGGGCGAAAGCCUGAUCCGAGCCAUUCCGCGUGCAGGAUGAAGGCCCUCGGGUUGUAAACUGCUUUUCCCCGGGAAGAAUAAGCCCCCCGCGGGGGGUGAUGCCGGUACCGGGGGAAUAAGGAUCGGCUAACUCCGUG
RNAcentral lists this ribosomal RNA (490 nucleotides) under uncultured bacterium. RNAcentral describes it as "bacterial SSU rRNA". It matches the Rfam family "Bacterial small subunit ribosomal RNA", at positions 33 to 507 of the family's 1533-position model. The record is from RNAcentral.